This is a long non-coding RNA of Oryza sativa Japonica Group (Japanese rice), 209 nucleotides long. RefSeq lists it as uncharacterized. NCBI's taxonomy places the organism in Eukaryota, Viridiplantae, Streptophyta, Magnoliopsida, Poales, Poaceae. The record is from RefSeq and is a predicted model, not a curated record.
GUGGGAGUGGAGCUGAAGCUUCGCUAGGUUUUAUUUUUCCGCUGCAGUUUUCUUCAUGGGAGAUGGAAAGCUGAACGUAUGGGCGAUAGUCAGAUAGGGAUCGGAAAGAUUCGACCAGGAUUUAGUUUGAUUGUGAAAAAAUCGGGUCCAUCUGCUCAAAAUCUGACGGUUAAUACAUAUAUAGUGAUGAUGUGGGGUGAGCUGUGGAA